Long non-coding RNA from Talpa occidentalis (Iberian mole), 377 nucleotides. RefSeq lists it as uncharacterized. The record is from RefSeq and is a predicted model, not a curated record. The transcript is spliced from 4 exons. NCBI's taxonomy places the organism in Eukaryota, Metazoa, Chordata, Mammalia, Eulipotyphla, Talpidae.
CAGCAGAGUCCACUCAGAACAGCUGCUGGGUAUCUUCUCCCAAGCCUGGGGCCUCCCAUCAGGGCUGACAGGGAAUGGCUUGGAAUGGGGACACCACCUGGGCGAUGGGAAGAGGCCAGGAAUGCUCCUGGGGCUGGUUGGAGAGGCAGCUGCCACCAGUCCCUGUGGCACCUCAUAACCAGUCCCUCAGAAAGGGGUACCUCCAAGAACUGCCAGGAGAAGGACGGAAUAUGAUGCUGGAACAGCGGGACAGUGACUGGCUGAAGAAGACGGGAUGACUCCUUGAUCAGGUCACAAGCUAUUCAAGAUGGGAACAGAAGAGGCAAAGUCACCCUAUCCAAAGGGCCAAAACAGAUGGCAGCAGACACCCCUAUAAA